AGCUGCCGAGCAAUUGACAAAAGCGACGGGAGCGGGUCAGUGACGUUUCUCGAAUUAGGCAAGCUGUAAGUAAAAACGGCAAGAUCGUAUCGCGGUGGCUCUUUUAUGGCCAUAGGCAUUGUCGGUAUCGGUUGCUCUCCAGUCACUUUGAUCGUAGGUAAAGAAAAGAAAAAAAGGAAAAUACGAAAAAAGUAUGCUUGGAUUCCUGGGAGUGAACGUGGAUGGUGGUAGGGAUGAAUGCUGGGACAUCUGGAUGGACAACGUCGUAUUUCAAAUUCGAUGCGGAAAACUGUACGAAAUUCGAUGUGCUUCGCUACGCUGUAAAAUAGGUGUAUGGCGAUCUGCGCUGGGAAAUAUAUUAAAUAUAAGAUUUAUCUUAUGGCCAUACAGACUGUGCGAGGUGUAAUAUAAAUUUUGUUCUAUUACCAAUGAAAAUCUGGCAAUGUCCCAUGACCAAUUUUACCGCUGCGGUUUUUUCACAGUAUAAUAAAUCAACGUUAAUGCUCUUUUCGGUCUUAUGCACAUGGUCAAAUAGGGGAUAUUGAUUCGCGCCGAGGUCAGACUGUUUUAUUAGCGGGAAGCUUCGUAAAUUUCGAUAGAAAGUUCCCACGAGUUUUUUUACCUUUUUUCUUGUUUUCUCUUUUCUAAUUCUUUUUUUUUUCGUUUCGAUAGUAGGAUAGACGGUGGCGCAUCUCAGUGUCACCUGGCGUCCUAUCAAAUAACAGCAUAUAGGUACCAUUUGCGCCGGACAGUAAGUAAUGGAAAAAAUGUUGACAGUCUGGUUGAUGAAUUUUGAAAAAGUGUCGAUACUAGAGGAUAUCGGAAAGAAGUCAAAAAAAAAACUUUCUGAAAGGAUGCCCUGACCAAUGACUAUUAUUUCGCUUGACGAACAGAAAAAAAUAUCUAGACAAAAAAUAUUUAUCCUUUACAAGAUAAAUCAAUUAAUAUCUAUUAGUACCGAAUUAGCUGAAAUGUCAUUUGCGUUCGGGGAAUUUCUGUAAUUCCCAAAGUCAAGAAAUUCUCGAAAUUCUAGUGAAAAUGGUUAAUCGAGAAUGUCAGGGAAAAAUGUUUUUGUUAUUGGUUUCAAAAAAAAAAAAACUUUCAAAAUAUUCAAAUAACUUAUGCUGACAACCAUGUAAUUUUGAAAUUCCCACCAUUAAGUUACCUGUCGACACGCUAACUGUCUUACGGCAUUUGGUUGACUGAUGAUUUAUAACAUUCAAAUAUUCCCGCCAACUCCUGACUAGUCUUCUUUAACGUCCAAGUAAACAAAUAGCUCAAAAUUAAUCGUCGAUCUUACGUGACGAGUAGAUUUUUCUCCCAAUGAAGUUCAGCAAGUUGGUUCCAAGAAAUUUCCAAAAUAUUCGGCUCCCAAAUCUCUACCGAUUUCGAUUCCCUUGAUCGUCGACGUAUUUUAUUUAUUUUUU
Long non-coding RNA from Cephus cinctus (wheat stem sawfly), 1427 nucleotides. RefSeq lists it as uncharacterized. NCBI's taxonomy places the organism in Eukaryota, Metazoa, Arthropoda, Insecta, Hymenoptera, Cephidae. The record is from RefSeq and is a predicted model, not a curated record. The transcript has 3 exons.